This 207-nucleotide ribosomal RNA is filed under the name uncultured bacterium. RNAcentral's name for it is "partial 16S ribosomal RNA". It matches the Rfam family "Bacterial small subunit ribosomal RNA", at positions 568 to 774 of the family's 1533-position model. The record is from RNAcentral.
UGCGUAGGCGGCCGGGUAAGUCUGACGUGAAAUCUUCAAGCUCAACUUGGAAACUGCGUCGGAUACUAUUCGGCUAGAGGAAUGGAGGGGAGACUGGAAUACUUGGUGUAGCAGUGAAAUGCGUAGAUAUCAAGUGGAACACCAGUGGCGAAGGCGAGUCUCUGGACAUUUCCUGACGCUGAGGCACGAAAGCCAGGGGAGCAAACG